GGGUUGUGAGGUUAAGCGACUAAGCGUACACGGUGGAUGCCCUGGCAGUCAGAGGCGAUGAAGGACGUGCUAAUCUGCGAUAAGCGUCGGUAAGGUGAUAUGAACCGUUAUAACCGGCGAUUUCCGAAUGGGGAAACCCAGUGUGUUUCGACACACUAUCAUUAACUGAAUCCAUAGGUUAAUGAGGCGAACCGGGGGAACUGAAACAUCUAAGUACCCCGAGGAAAAGAAAUCAACCGAGAUUCCCCCAGUAGCGGCGAGCGAACGGGGAGCAGCCCAGAGCCUGAAUCAGUGUGUGUGUUAGUGGAAGCGUCUGGAAAGGCGCGCGAUACAGGGUGACAGCCCCGUACACAAAAAUGCACAUGCUGUGAGCUCGAUGAGUAGGGCGGGACACGUGGUAUCCUGUCUGAAUAUGGGGGGACCAUCCUCCAAGGCUAAAUACUCCUGACUGACCGAUAGUGAACCAGUACCGUGAGGGAAAGGCGAAAAGAACCCCGGCGAGGGGAGUGAAAAAGAACCUGAAACCGUGUACGUACAAGCAGUGGGAGCACAGAGCAAUCUGUGUGACUGCGUACCUUUUGUAUAAUGGGUCAGCGACUUAUAUUCUGUAGCAAGGUUAACCGAAUAGGGGAGCCGAAGGGAAACCGAGUCUUAACUGGGCGUUAAGUUGCAGGGUAUAGACCCGAAACCCGGUGAUCUAGCCAUGGGCAGGUUGAAGGUUGGGUAACACUAACUGGAGGACCGAACCGACUAAUGUUGAAAAAUUAGCGGAUGACUUGUGGCUGGGGGUGAAAGGCCAAUCAAACCGGGAGAUAGCUGGUUCUCCCCGAAAGCUAUUUAGGUAGCGCCUCGUGAAUUCAUCUCCGGGGGUAGAGCACUGUUUCGGCAAGGGGGUCAUCCCGACUUACCAACCCGAUGCAAACUGCGAAUACCGGAGAAUGUUAUCACGGGAGACACACGGCGGGUGCUAACGUCCGUCGUGAAGAGGGAAACAACCCAGACCGCCAGCUAAGGUCCCAAAGUCAUGGUUAAGUGGGAAACGAUGUGGGAAGGCCCAGACAGCCAGGAUGUUGGCUUAGAAGCAGCCAUCAUUUAAAGAAAGCGUAAUAGCUCACUGGUCGAGUCGGCCUGCGCGGAAGAUGUAACGGGGCUAAACCAUGCACCGAAGCUGCGGCAGCGACGCUUAUGCGUUGUUGGGUAGGGGAGCGUUCUGUAAGCCUGCGAAGGUGUGCUGUGAGGCAUGCUGGAGGUAUCAGAAGUGCGAAUGCUGACAUAAGUAACGAUAAAGCGGGUGAAAAGCCCGCUCGCCGGAAGACCAAGGGUUCCUGUCCAACGUUAAUCGGGGCAGGGUGAGUCGACCCCUAAGGCGAGGCCGAAAGGCGUAGUCGAUGGGAAACAGGUUAAUAUUCCUGUACUUGGUGUUACUGCGAAGGGGGGACGGAGAAGGCUAUGUUGGCCGGGCGACGGUUGUCCCGGUUUAAGCGUGUAGGCUGGUUUUCCAGGCAAAUCCGGAAAAUCAAGGCUGAGGCGUGAUGACGAGGCACUACGGUGCUGAAGCAACAAAUGCCCUGCUUCCAGGAAAAGCCUCUAAGCAUCAGGUAACAUCAAAUCGUACCCCAAACCGACACAGGUGGUCAGGUAGAGAAUACCAAGGCGCUUGAGAGAACUCGGGUGAAGGAACUAGGCAAAAUGGUGCCGUAACUUCGGGAGAAGGCACGCUGAUAUGUAGGUGAAGUCCCUCGCGGAUGGAGCUGAAAUCAGUCGAAGAUACCAGCUGGCUGCAACUGUUUAUUAAAAACACAGCACUGUGCAAACACGAAAGUGGACGUAUACGGUGUGACGCCUGCCCGGUGCCGGAAGGUUAAUUGAUGGGGUUAGCGCAAGCGAAGCUCUUGAUCGAAGCCCCGGUAAACGGCGGCCGUAACUAUAACGGUCCUAAGGUAGCGAAAUUCCUUGUCGGGUAAGUUCCGACCUGCACGAAUGGCGUAAUGAUGGCCAGGCUGUCUCCACCCGAGACUCAGUGAAAUUGAACUCGCUGUGAAGAUGCAGUGUACCCGCGGCAAGACGGAAAGACCCCGUGAACCUUUACUAUAGCUUGACACUGAACAUUGAGCCUUGAUGUGUAGGAUAGGUGGGAGGCUUUGAAGUGUGGACGCCAGUCUGCAUGGAGCCGACCUUGAAAUACCACCCUUUAAUGUUUGAUGUUCUAACGUUGACCCGUGAUCCGGGUUGCGGACAGUGUCUGGUGGGUAGUUUGACUGGGGCGGUCUCCUCCUAAAGAGUAACGGAGGAGCACGAAGGUUGGCUAAUCCUGGUCGGACAUCAGGAGGUUAGUGCAAUGGCAUAAGCCAGCUUGACUGCGAGCGUGACGGCGCGAGCAGGUGCGAAAGCAGGUCAUAGUGAUCCGGUGGUUCUGAAUGGAAGGGCCAUCGCUCAACGGAUAAAAGGUACUCCGGGGAUAACAGGCUGAUACCGCCCAAGAGUUCAUAUCGACGGCGGUGUUUGGCACCUCGAUGUCGGCUCAUCACAUCCUGGGGCUGAAGUAGGUCCCAAGGGUAUGGCUGUUCGCCAUUUAAAGUGGUACGCGAGCUGGGUUUAGAACGUCGUGAGACAGUUCGGUCCCUAUCUGCCGUGGGCGCUGGAGAACUGAGGGGGGCUGCUCCUAGUACGAGAGGACCGGAGUGGACGCAUCACUGGUGUUCGGGUUGUCAUGCCAAUGGCACUGCCCGGUAGCUAAAUGCGGAAGAGAUAAGUGCUGAAAGCAUCUAAGCACGAAACUUGCCCCGAGAUGAGUUCUCCCUGACUCCUUGAGAGUCCUGAAGGAACGUUGAAGACGACGACGUUGAUAGGCCGGGUGUGUAAGCGCAGCGAUGCGUUGAGCUAACCGGUACUAAUGAACCGUGAGGCUUAACCUUACAACGCCGAAGCUGUU
Molecule: ribosomal RNA, 2932 nt
Filed under: Escherichia coli
Lineage: Bacteria; Pseudomonadati; Pseudomonadota; Gammaproteobacteria; Enterobacterales; Enterobacteriaceae
Description: 23S ribosomal RNA
Rfam family: Bacterial large subunit ribosomal RNA
Source: RNAcentral